RNAcentral lists this ribosomal RNA (468 nucleotides) under uncultured bacterium. RNAcentral's name for it is "partial 16S ribosomal RNA". It matches the Rfam family "Bacterial small subunit ribosomal RNA", at positions 28 to 507 of the family's 1533-position model. The record is from RNAcentral.
GACGAACGCUGGCGGCGUGCUUAACACAUGCAAGUCGAACGGAAAGGCCCUGCUUUUGUGGGGUGCUCGAGUGGCGAACGGGUGAGUAACACGUGAGUAACCUGCCCUUGACUUUGGGAUAACUUCAGGAAACUGGGGCUAAUACCGGAUAGGAGCUCCUGCUGCAUGGUGGGGGUUGGAAAGUUUCGGCGGUUGGGGAUGGACUCGGGGCUUGUCAGCUUGUUGGUGGGGUAGUGGCUUACCAAGGCUUUGACGGGUCGCCGGCCUGAGAGGGUGACCGGCCACAUUGGGACUGAGAUACGGCCCAGACUCCUACGGGAGGCAGCAGUGGGGAAUAUUGCACAAUGGGCGGAAGCCUGAUGCAGCAACGCCGCGUGCGGGAUGACGGCCUUCGGGUUGUAAACCGCUUUCGCCUGUGACGAAGCGUGAGUGACGGUAAUGGGUAAAGAAGCACCGGCUAACUACGUG